AGUGAACGCUGGCGGUAGGUCUAACACAUGCAAGUCGAACGGCAGCACAGUAAGAGCUUGCUCUUACGGGUGGCGAGUGGCGGACGGGUGAGGAAUACAUCGGAAUCUACUUUUUCGUGGGGGAUAAUGUAGGGAAACUUACGCUAAUACCGCAUACGACCUACGGGUGAAAGCAGGGGAUCUUCGGACCUUGCGCGAUUGAAUGAGCCGAUGUCGGAUUAGCUAGUUGGCGGGGUAAAGGCCCACCAAGGCGACGAUCCGUAGCUGGUCUGAGAGGAUGAUCAGCCACACUGGAACUGAGACACGGUCCAGACUCCUACGGGAGGCGGCAGUGGGGAAUAUUGGACAAUGGGCGCAAGCCUGAUCCAGCCAUACCGCGUGGGUGAAGAAGGCCUUCGGGUUGUAAAGCCCUUUUGUUGGGAAAGAAAAGCAGCAGGUUAAUACCCCGCUGUUCUGACGGUACCCAAAGAAUAAGCACCGGCUAACUUCGUG
RNAcentral lists this ribosomal RNA (492 nucleotides) under uncultured bacterium. RNAcentral's name for it is "partial 16S ribosomal RNA". It matches the Rfam family "Bacterial small subunit ribosomal RNA", at positions 29 to 507 of the family's 1533-position model. The record is from RNAcentral.